GAUGAAGAACGUAGCGAAAUGCGAUACGUAAUGUGAAUUGCAAAUUCAGUGAAUCAUCGAGUCUUUGAACGCACAUUGCGCCCCCUGGUAUUCCGGGGGGCAUGCCUGUCCGAGCGUCAUCGCUGCCCUCAAGCACGGCUUGUGUGUUGGGCCCCGUCCUCCGAUCCCGGGGGACGGGCCCGAAAGGCAGCGGCGGCACCGCGUCCGGUCCUCGAGCGUAUGGGGCUUUGUCACCCGCUCUGUAGGCCCGGCCGGCGCUUGCCGAUCAACCCAAAUUUUUUUAUCCAGGUUGACCUCGGAUCAGGUAGGGAUACCCGCUGAACUUAAGCAUAUCAAUAAGCGGAGGA
RNAcentral lists this unclassified non-coding RNA (347 nucleotides) under soil metagenome. Its description in RNAcentral is "partial contains 5.8S ribosomal RNA, internal transcribed spacer 2, and large subunit ribosomal RNA". The stretch from base 1 to 119 matches the Rfam family "5.8S ribosomal RNA", at positions 35 to 154 of the family's 154-position model. The record is from RNAcentral.